Long non-coding RNA from Pecten maximus, 2029 nucleotides. RefSeq lists it as uncharacterized. The transcript is spliced from 2 exons. Lineage: Eukaryota; Metazoa; Mollusca; Bivalvia; Pectinida; Pectinidae. The record is from RefSeq and is a predicted model, not a curated record.
GAAACAUUACAACUUGUUUCUUCUUAAACAAAAACAGUUUUAAUACAUUUCAGUGAGACAGAUGCAAGUGACCACAAUGAUUCCAGUGCAUUGACCAUCACCAAGAAAAGAAAGAGCCUUCACUGGAAAAAGAAAGAAAGAAAAAAUAACAGGGUGCCCUGGACCAAAGCUGACACUGAAAUCCUUAAGCGCAUAUUUCAUCCAUGUAUUACAUCAAAUAAGCCUCCAACAAAAAAUGAUGUUUUAUUAGGGACAAGGAAAAACACGUAUGUGAAAACAAUGUUCGAAAAAAGAGGCUGGAAGUGUAUUAAGUAUUACAUUUGGAGCCUGACACAGCAGCAUCAGAAAAAAAAGAUGAAGCUUUUGCAAGCAUCUUAUUUGCGGAACUAAAUCUAUGUUCUGUUCGUCAAGAAAUGUUUUGAUUCCAAUAAUGAAGAGUGUGCCGUUUUGGGUGUUUUACUUUACUUUUAUUUACUUGUGACGACGAAAUGACUCGGUUGAAUUAAUUCCAUUUCUUGGAAGAACCUAGGAUAGAAUUAUCUACGUACAUUUGUUUUGCAUCCAAUAAUGCACUGUAUAUGUACUUAUAUCAGCAAUUGUUAAUUGGUGCUCUGAAUGAGUUAGACAUUUAGUACAUACAAUUUUCUCCUCACAAAAUUUAAAUAAUUUUCUUGCGAAUUCCCUUUGAACAUUUAGCUUGAAUCCUUAUGUCUCCAUCACCGUCAGUCUUUGCCUUUGUGGCAAAAUCCUCAAUGUUUAUUCUAAGGCUUCUUCUGUUUCUUAAUAAUAAUUCCAUUCACUCUCCAAAAUAACUCAUCUUAAUUUGAUCCAGGGAAAUACCUGUAUUUGACAUUUAAGUGGCAAUGCAAGAUAUACAAGCGAAUGUUUGUUACCACUAUUUUUCAUUAAAAAAGAUAAAAUUAGGACCUGUUUCAUUUGUAUGGAUGAUUUUAAAUAUAUAUAAUCAAUGUCAUCAAGGUCAUAUAUUGGAAUAAGAAAUCCUGACCUUUUACAUAGUACUAUGGAAGUAUUAGAGAACUCUCAAUGAUAACAAAUCUCAGAUAUAGUGCAGAGGAAAAUGUGAAAUGUUACAUUGUAUGUGUUUAUUUAAUGCAAUAUUGCAUUCAAUAUUAGUAUGAUGCCAUGUUAUUUUCAACUUACUACAUUUCAUGUUUAAGCCUAAGGCUAUUUGGAUAUGUAUACCCUUCGAUGCAAAACAAUGCAAUGUUUGAUAUCUUUUGAAGACAGAGAUUUGUUUUUUUGAAUUUCAGUUAUUGUUUAAUUUGUUAUUGAAGAUAAAAAAUGUUCACUGUUGAGUUGAUAGAUUCAGCAGGUGCUUGUGGGGAACAACUUAGUAUCUCUCUGUGAAGAGGGUUUAUGAGGAAUACAUUCUCACUGACAAUUGUUUGUGAGGAACUUAGUAUCUCUCUGUGAAGAGGGUUUAUGGGGAAUACAUUCUCACUGAUAAGUGUUUGUGAGGACCUUAGUAUCUCUCUGUGAAGAGAGUUUAUGAGGAAUACAUUCUCACUGAUAAGUGUUUGUGGGGAACAUCUUGGUAUCUCUCUGUGAAAAGGCUUUAUGAGGAAUACAUUCUCACUGAUAAGUGUUUGUGGGGAACAUCUUCGUAUCUCUCUGUGAAAAGGCUUUAUGAUUGAUGAAUACAUUCUCAAUGAUAAGUGUUUUUAGAGAAUUUAUAGUACUAUAUUUCUGUCGGGUAGACUUAUUAUCCAUCUGAUGAAGGUUUAAAGGGAUUAUUUAUUGCAGGUAUUAUAUGGUGAAUAUUUAGGUCCCCCCUCAAUCCCCCCUUGAAGAAAGCGUUUAUGAGGCAUAAAUCUCUUACGGAGGUGUUCCAAAUGAUCCCCAUAAAAUUGUCUUUGCCCCAUAUACUAAAACGGAGAGAGAACUUGGAUAUGGUUUAAUAUUUGGAAAUAGCUGAAAGUGAGAGAGAGAGAGAGAGAGAGAGAGAGAGAGAGAGAUGGUUAUUUAUGAAUAAUUUAAUAGAUUAUUAAUAAAAUCAUAUAAAACAUUA